UUCAAAAUAUAUCCAAAGAAUGCUGCUGACUUGUCUGCAGGGAUCAGCCUCAGCCACCUCCAAUUUUAUAUUUAGAAGUCAAGGACAAUGCAAAUCUGAGUCUAUAAUGAGCUCCCUUCCACAGAAGUUAUGGCAACGGAUAUCUUCCCAUGGAAAAAUGAAAAAAUGUUUAUUGAUUUUUCUGAGGUUGCAGGAUUUUUUUAUGAAAACCACGGAACCAAGUCUUCUUUGGUGCUUCAGUGCUGACCAAUAUGUCCAGAAGAACCAGAGAACUAGUUAAAAGAGGUCUAUUUCCAUGACUAAGGUAACAAGAGCCACAUCUGCAAAAGAACAUGGGUGUAUGUAGUCACAGUUUGGCCUAUCUUAUGUAGUGCAAAAAGAUUCAAGUUAACAACGACAGCUUUCCCAGUGUGACCACUGCCUCCUACCACUCGUUUCCAGGAAAGCAUGUGAAGAACAUUUCUGGUGGAUGGUACAUUCAAACUCUAAGGAUAGGUAAUGAAAGCUACUGUCUAAUAAAAUGUGACAAGGAAAUAAUACCUCUAUAUCACAUUUCUCUACCUGAGAGCAGAUAUAUAGGGUAGCAGAAUAGCUGGAAAUGUCCUCUGCAUGGAAAGCACUAACAAAGAAGUCUGCUAUUGGUGAACUGUCUGGCUCAAGUGUAUCUCAAGACUGGGCUGGAAAUAGACUGUACACUUAUUCUAGAAAAGGGACACAGGUGUAUGUAAAACAGAGGCCAGUAUUUGAGAUGGUAAUUAUAUUCAUACCAUAUGUCUACUACCAUUUGAGAAAGGCAGAGAUGGAGUUAAUGGAGCUCUCUAGAGUUUGUCGAAGUCCUGCUCCAUGUCCACACCAUCCUCAAAAUGUAUGAAAAUUUCCUGCAAAUUCUCAGAUGGUCAGAUUUCAGUGUUCCAAAUCUCUGAGAAACUUGAUUUGUUCCUCUCAUUAUUUACUAGCUUUUUAAAUUUUCUAAGUAUCCUACUGACUAUGGAUUGGACAGUGUGGACUGACAACAUGGACAUACAGCUAAAUUAGCAAAUGGACCAAAGGCAGUACUCAUCACAGACUUCAAUGGAGGUGGCCAAAUGCAUCACAGAACUUAGGGUGGGCCUGUCCCACAACUAAGUACUGUCUCAGUCUACUCAGUAAUUCUUUUCAAUUCAAGCCUCCCCAGUGAGACUAAGAAAGCUGGAGUAGGUGGCCUGCUGGUCCUCUGCCAAGUUUCUUUUCUCCAGCUCCUUCAAAUGACCAGACACAACUAAGGGGAAACAUACUGGCUAACUAACCAAGUCUGGUUUUCCCUACCCCAUUCACCCACUGGCCAUUUCUGUCCCAUACCUCUAACCUCAGCAGAAUUUCUCUUAUAUUCCAUCUUAUACUCAGUCUUCCCACUCCAUUUGUGUCUUGUGCAGUUCCCAUCUUCCCCUUCAUGUCCCUGAUAGAUCUAUUGCUAUUUCCUGCUCUAUCCCAUCUCUUCUAACACAUACCUUCUGUGCCUCUGUUCAAGCUGUCUGCUAAACGAAAGCUGGAUAACCAUGGGGGAAUAAUGGCUUUUAUACUAGUGGGCAAGCCUUGUUCCCAGUUUGGGAGCUUUGGUUCUGAUCUUCCUGGGUGGGCUAGUCAUGACCCUGUCUUGACAAGAAUUAAGGACUUUCCACAUGGGUUGGGCAAUAUUUAGGCACGCGUCAUGAGGGAAAUGAAUCAAAACAGUGGUGGGUGGAGGACAGAAGACUAAGUUGGCAGGGAAGAAUCAUAUGAAUGUGAGAAAAGCAACUCAGAAGACCAGAGGAUUUUAUAAAUCUAAUUCUGGAUGCCUAACACACUUGUGAUAGUAGUGCAUCCUUGGGAGGUGGGAUAAGGAAAAGAGGAGAAAGGAGGUGACAUGGCCAGCAAGAUAUAGCCACUGACCAUCACCUAACUAGCUAAAUGAGAGAGAAAAUCCUAAUAUUAUCUCACAGAAUCUUUGCCAAGAAAGCAAAUUACUUGCCUAGUUGUAUUGAAAACAUAUAAUUUUAUCUUCUAAAUAAUUUCUGUAGCCUAGUCUCUUUAUUGCGUUCUCCAAGAUUUCUGGAAAUUUGGUGCUUACCAGCAAGCUGUAGUUCUCCAGAAUAAAUAAAUGCUAUCAUCUCACUACUGGCAUGAGGAUACAGUCAAUGUAGAAAUUAACUAAUUGUGAUUGUACCCAUACUGCAUUCAUCUCAGCAAGUACUGCCACUAUGAUCAGGGAAUCAAUUUUAAACUUAGUUAUUAGUGAAAGUCAAAAUUAAAAUGUGCCUUCCAAAAGUAUUCAUAUCAGAAAUUGGAAUUUAAGCAAGUUACAGCACGUAUUUGACCAGGAUACGUAAGUAACACUGACAACAAAGUUAUCAGACCUCUAGU
Long non-coding RNA from Gallus gallus (chicken), 2379 nucleotides. Lineage: Eukaryota; Metazoa; Chordata; Aves; Galliformes; Phasianidae. The record is from Ensembl.